This 492-nucleotide ribosomal RNA is filed under the name uncultured bacterium. Its description in RNAcentral is "partial 16S ribosomal RNA". It matches the Rfam family "Bacterial small subunit ribosomal RNA", at positions 28 to 507 of the family's 1533-position model. The record is from RNAcentral.
GAUGAACGCUAGCUACAGGCUUAACACAUGCAAGUCGAGGGGAAACGACAUCGAAAGCUUGCUUUUGAUGGGCGUCGACCGGCGCACGGGUGAGUAACGCGUAUCCAACCUGCCCAUCACUUGGGGAUAACCUUGCGAAAGUAAGACUAAUACCCAAUGAUAUCUCUAGAAGACAUCUGAAAGAGAUUAAAGAUUUAUCGGUGAUGGAUGGGGAUGCGUCUGAUUAGCUUGUUGGCGGGGUAACGGCCCACCAAGGCAACGAUCAGUAGGGGUUCUGAGAGGAAGGUCCCCCACAUUGGAACGGAGACACGGUCCAAACUCCUACGGGAGGCAGCAGUGAGGAAGAUUGGUCAAUGGGCGAGAGCCUGAACCAGCCAAGUAGCGUGCAGGAAGACGGCCCUAUGGGUUGUAAACUGCUUUUAUAAGGGAAUAAAGUGAGAGUCGUGACUCUUUUUGUAUGUACCUUAUGAAUAAGGACCGGCUAAUUCCGUG